This 253-nucleotide ribosomal RNA is filed under the name uncultured bacterium. RNAcentral's name for it is "partial 16S ribosomal RNA". It matches the Rfam family "Bacterial small subunit ribosomal RNA", at positions 524 to 776 of the family's 1533-position model. The record is from RNAcentral.
UACGUAGGGUGCGAGCGUUACUCGGAAUUACUGGGCGUAAAGCGUGCGCAGGCGGUGAUGUAAGACAGGUGUGAAAUCCCCGGGCUUAACCUGGGAACUGCAUUUGUGACUGCAUCGCUGGAGUGCGGCAGAGGGGGAUGGAAUUCCGCGUGUAGCAGUGAAAUGCGUAGAUAUGCGGAGGAACACCGAUGGCGAAGGCAAUCCCCUGGACCUGUACUGACGCUCAUGCACGAAAGCGUGGGGAGCAAACAGG